UAAGAAUUUAAGAGUCGAACAGACUCACCUUAUAAGAAGGCUGCUCCUUAAAGUUUUCUUAAUUCAACAUCGAGGUCGCAAAAGAAAGUAUAGAUGUGAACUCCCCACUCCAAUUACGCUGUUAUCCCUAAGGUAACUUUGUCUUUGUUCCAAUAAAAGGAUCAUAAAACACAUAUAUAAAUGAAGAUUUUAACUAAAGUUAAAUUUAGCAACCGCCCCAGUUAAACAAUUUACAAUUUAAAAAAAAUUUAAGUACAAAAUUUUAUUAAAAUAUAAACUAUAAAGUUCUAUAGGGUCUUAUCGUCCCUAAAAAUUAAAUAGGCAUUUUAACCUAAAAUUUAAAUUCUAAAUUUAAAAUUAAUAAAAUAAAUUUCUCAUACAUCCAUUCAUACCAGCUCCCAAUUAAGAAGCUAAUUACUAUGCUACCUUUGCACAGUCAAAAUACUGCAGCCAUUUAGUAAACCCAUAGGGCAGAAGAUACUUUUUAAAAACCCA
This 495-nucleotide ribosomal RNA is filed under the name Orosius orientalis. RNAcentral describes it as "partial 16S ribosomal RNA". Lineage: Eukaryota; Metazoa; Arthropoda; Insecta; Hemiptera; Cicadellidae. The record is from RNAcentral.